GCAGUUAAGCGUGCUUGGGCG
RNAcentral lists this non-coding RNA (21 nucleotides) under Arabidopsis thaliana (thale cress). Lineage: Eukaryota; Viridiplantae; Streptophyta; Magnoliopsida; Brassicales; Brassicaceae. The record is from RNAcentral.